UCAGAUGUGAAGAUGGAGUUGAACGUGCAAGAGGUAUAUGAUCUGGGGUAGAAGAAGGGUAGAAAUCGAAAUCAAGUAAUGGGGGGGGAUCAAUUCUUCUGUUUUUUUUUUUAAAUAUCAUGUCGACAAAACCAGUCUCUUAUUAAUGUUUUUCAUAUUUUUUUUAAAGGGCAAACUUGUGAAUAAUGAAGUAAAGGUUGGGUUUUUGAUAUAUUUUUUGUUUUAUGUUUUAAUCUAGUCUAGUAAUAAUUAAAUUAUAUAAGUUAGUCUAGUAAUUUGUUCAUUAAUUAGAGUAAUUAAAAGUACUUUCUCUUAAUUUUUUUUGUUACCUGAGGUGUCCAAAUUAUAUUGAUUAAG
Molecule: long non-coding RNA, 357 nt
Filed under: Brassica napus (rape)
Lineage: Eukaryota; Viridiplantae; Streptophyta; Magnoliopsida; Brassicales; Brassicaceae
Description: long non-coding RNA (BNAP_LNC026359)
Source: RNAcentral